GAUGAACGCUGGCGGCGUGCCUAAUACAUGCAAGUCGAACGAAACUUCUUUAUCACCGAGUGCUUGCACUCACCGAUAAAGAGUUGAGUGGCGAACGGGUGAGUAACACGUUGGCAACCUGCCCAAAAGAGGGGGAUAACACUUGGAAACAGGUGCUAAUACCGCAUAACCAUAGUUACCGCAUGGUAACUAUGUAAAAGGUGGCUAUACUACCGCUUUUGGAUGGGCCCGCGGCGCAUUAGCUAGUUGGUAGGGUAAAGGCUUACCAAGGCAAUGAUGCGUAGCCGAAUUGAGAGGUUGAUCGGCCACAUUGGGACUGAGACACGGCCCAAACUCCUACGGGAGGCAGCAGUAGGGAAUCUUCCACAAUGGGCGAAAGCCUGAUGGAGCAACGCCGCGUGGGUGAAGAAGGUCUUCGGAUCGUAAAACCCUGUUGUUAGAGAAGAAAGUGCGUGAGAGUAACUGUUCACGUUUCGACGGUAUCUAACCAGAAAGCCACGGCUAACUACGUG
RNAcentral lists this ribosomal RNA (512 nucleotides) under uncultured bacterium. RNAcentral describes it as "partial 16S ribosomal RNA". It matches the Rfam family "Bacterial small subunit ribosomal RNA", at positions 28 to 507 of the family's 1533-position model. The record is from RNAcentral.